This 83-nucleotide transfer RNA is filed under the name Catellatospora coxensis. Its description in RNAcentral is "tRNA-Gly". Lineage: Bacteria; Bacillati; Actinomycetota; Actinomycetes; Micromonosporales; Micromonosporaceae. The record is from RNAcentral.
GCGUGGGCCGGGCGGCCGGGCGCGGCCGCGCCGUUCCCGCCGGCGCAGGCGCCCGAGCUGAUCGGCACGGCGGUCACGUUCCA